CCUGAAGGCCCAGAUGGUAAAGCAUCUGCCUACAAUGCAGGAGACCAGGGUUCAAUCCCUGGGUCAGGA
Molecule: transfer RNA, 69 nt
Filed under: Bos taurus (domestic cattle)
Lineage: Eukaryota; Metazoa; Chordata; Mammalia; Artiodactyla; Bovidae
Rfam family: tRNA
About the family: Transfer RNA (tRNA) molecules are approximately 80 nucleotides in length. Their secondary structure includes four short double-helical elements and three loops (D, anti-codon, and T loops).
Source: Rfam by way of RNAcentral